This 497-nucleotide ribosomal RNA is filed under the name uncultured bacterium. RNAcentral's name for it is "partial 16S ribosomal RNA". It matches the Rfam family "Bacterial small subunit ribosomal RNA", at positions 28 to 507 of the family's 1533-position model. The record is from RNAcentral.
GAUGAACGCUGGCGGCGUGCCUAAUACAUGCAAGUCGAGCGAACAGAUAAGGAGCUUGCUCCUUUGACGUUAGCGGCGGACGGGUGAGUAACACGUGGGUAACCUACCUAUAAGACUGGGAUAACUUCGGGAAACCGGAGCUAAUACCGGAUAACAUUUGGAACCGCAUGGUUCUAAAGUGAAAGAUGGUUUUGCUGUCACUUAUAGAUGGACCCGCGCCGUAUUAGCUAGUUGGUAAGGUAACGGCUUACCAAGGCAACGAUACGUAGCCGACCUGAGAGGGUGAUCGGCCACACUGGAACUGAGACACGGUCCAGACUCCUACGGGAGGCAGCAGUAGGGAAUCUUCCGCAAUGGGCGAAAGCCUGACGGAGCAACGCCGCGUGAGUGAUGAAGGGUUUCGGAUCGUAAAACUCUGUUAUUAGGGAAGAACAAACGUGUAAGUAACUGUGCACGUCUUGACGGUACCUAAUCAGAAAGCCACGGCUAACUACGUG